AUAUAAAUAAGCGGUGGAGAAGAAACUAACCAGGAUUCCCUCAGUAACUGCGAGUGAAGCGGGAAAAGCUCAAGCUUAAAAUCUGAAGAGGCCUCCUCUUCCGAAUUGUAGUUUCGCGAAUGACGCUUACGGGCAGUCCGCUCCGACAGAAGUCCUCUGGAAAGAGGCGCCGCAGAGGGUGAGAGCCCCGUACACGGUCGGAUGUCGGGCCGCCAACACGUACCGUCCAUUUGCAGAGUCGGGUUGUUUGGGAGUACAGCCCUAAGCGCGUGGUAAGUUCCAUGUAAAGCUAAAUAAGGGUGAGAGACCGAUAGCGAACAGGUACCGUGAGGGAAAGAUGCAAAGAACUUUGAAAAGAGAGUUAAAAGUGCUUGAAAUUGUUAAAAGGGAAGCGAUCUGUGUCAGUGAGUGGCGGCCGCCGACUCAUUCGCACCGGGGGUGCUGGUUCGCGGUCGGUCUGAGCGGCCCUCUGUGGCAGCCAUCCGAUCGCUGCCUGGCAUCUCCGUGGCGAAGCACUACGGCGGUCGCGGAGUCAGCAUCAAUCGGGGGAGGAGCAGAAGGGCCGGAGGAAGGUGACAUGGUGGAGCUCCUUGAGGGUUUCACCGUGUGUUAUAUCCUCCGGCAGAUACUCUUCUCAUCCGAUUGA
This 646-nucleotide ribosomal RNA is filed under the name uncultured fungus. RNAcentral's name for it is "eukaryotic LSU rRNA". It matches the Rfam family "Eukaryotic large subunit ribosomal RNA", at positions 40 to 610 of the family's 3401-position model. Lineage: Eukaryota; Fungi. The record is from RNAcentral.